Molecule: non-coding RNA, 785 nt
Filed under: Latoia hilarata
Lineage: Eukaryota; Metazoa; Arthropoda; Insecta; Lepidoptera; Limacodidae
Source: RNAcentral
AAAAUUAUUUAUGGUUUAUUUUAAUUUAUUAUUUAUUUAUUUUACAUAUAAAUUUUAGUAAUAAAUUAUAUUUAUUUUAAAAAUAAAUAUUUAAUAAUUAAGUAGUAAUUAAUAUUAAAAAAUUUAAGAAAUUAAGAUUUAGUAAUAUAAAAAUUAAUAACAAAUUUUGUGCCAGCAGUUGCGGUUACACAAAAAUUAAAUUAAAUUUUUUUAGUUUUAAUUAAAAUUAAGAAAAAAAAUUAUAUUAAAUAUUAAAUUAUUAAGUAAAAUUUUAAUUUGAUUUAAAUAUAUUAAAAAUAUUUUGAGUUAAUAAAUUUAUAUAAAUAAACUAGGAUUAGAUACCCUAUUAUUUUAAAUUUAAAUUAAAGAUACUAAAAUAGUAAAUAUAUUAAUAUUUAAACUUAAAUAAUUUGGCGGUAUUUUAGUUCAUUUAGAGGAAUCUGUUUAAUAAUUGAUAAUCCACGAUUAAAUUUACUUAAUUUAUUAUUUUAUAUAUCGUUGUUAAAAAAAUAUUUUUAAAUAAUUAUAAUAUUUUAAAAUUAAAAAUUAAAAUUAAAUCAGAUCAAGAUAUAGAUUAUAAUUAAGAAUAUAAUGGAUUACAAUAAAUUUAUUUAAAAUGGAUAUAAAUUUGAAAAAAUUUAUUAAAAGUGGAUUUAAAUGUAAUUUUUUUUUAUUUAAAAAAAAUGAUUAUUAAUUGAAAUAUGUACAUAUUGCCCGUCGCUUUCAUUAAUAAAUUGAAAUAAGUCGUAACAAAGUAGAGGUACUGGAAAGUGUUUCUAGAAAGA